CACGUAGGGCGCGAGCGUUGUCCGGAAUUAUUGGGCGUAAAGAGCUCGUAGGCGGCCUGUUGCGUCCGCUGUGAAAGCCCGGGGCUUAACCCCGGGUCGGCAGUGGAUACGGGCAGGCUAGAGGUAGGUAGGGGAGAAUGGAAUUCCUGGUGUAGCGGUGAAACGCGCAGAUAUCAGGAGGAACACCGGUGGCGAAGGCGGUUCUCUGGGCCUUACCUGACACUGAGGAGCGAAAGCGUGGGGAGCGAACAGG
This 253-nucleotide ribosomal RNA is filed under the name uncultured bacterium. Its description in RNAcentral is "partial 16S ribosomal RNA". It matches the Rfam family "Bacterial small subunit ribosomal RNA", at positions 524 to 776 of the family's 1533-position model. The record is from RNAcentral.